This 983-nucleotide ribosomal RNA is filed under the name Salmonella enterica subsp. enterica serovar Stanleyville. Its description in RNAcentral is "partial 23S ribosomal RNA". It matches the Rfam family "Bacterial large subunit ribosomal RNA", at positions 1176 to 2141 of the family's 2925-position model. Lineage: Bacteria; Pseudomonadati; Pseudomonadota; Gammaproteobacteria; Enterobacterales; Enterobacteriaceae. The record is from RNAcentral.
CGACGUCAAAGCGUUCAUUAAAGUCGAGUUGGCUUAGGGAUACGUUCGUUGGGUAGGGGAGCGUUCUGUAAGCCUGUGAAGGUGUGUCGUGAGGCAUGCUGGAGGUAUCAGAAGUGCGAAUGCUGACAUAAGUAACGAUAAAGCGGGUGAAAAGCCCGCUCGCCGGAAGACCAAGGGUUCCUGUCCAACGUUAAUCGGGGCAGGGUGAGUCGACCCCUAAGGCGAGGCCGAAAGGCGUAGUCGAUGGGAAACGGGUUAAUAUUCCCGUACUUGGUGUUACUGCGAAGGGGGGACGGAGAAGGCUAUGUUGGCCGGGCGACGGUUGUCCCGGUUUAAGCGUGUAGGUGUGUGUUCCAGGUAAAUCCGGUUCACUUUAACACUGAGGCGUGACGACGAGGCACUACGGUGCUGAAGCAACAAAUGCCCUGCUUCCAGGAAAAGCCUCUAAGCAUCAGGUAACAUCAAAUCGUACCCCAAACCGACACAGGUGGUCAGGUAGAGAAUACCAAGGCGCUUGAGAGAACUCGGGUGAAGGAACUAGGCAAAAUGGUGCCGUAACUUCGGGAGAAGGCACGCUGACACGUAGGUGAAGUGAUUUACUCAUGGAGCUGAAGUCAGUCGAAGAUACCAGCUGGCUGCAACUGUUUAUUAAAAACACAGCACUGUGCAAACACGAAAGUGGACGUAUACGGUGUGACGCCUGCCCGGUGCCGGAAGGUUAAUUGAUGGGGUCAGCGCAAGCGAAGCUCCUGAUCGAAGCCCCGGUAAACGGCGGCCGUAACUAUAACGGUCCUAAGGUAGCGAAAUUCCUUGUCGGGUAAGUUCCGACCUGCACGAAUGGCGUAAUGAUGGCCAGGCUGUCUCCACCCGAGACUCAGUGAAAUUGAACUCGCUGUGAAGAUGCAGUGUACCCGCGGCAAGACGGAAAGACCCCGUGAACCUUUACUAUAGCUUGACACUGAACAUUGAGCCUUGAUGUGUAG